CGAAGCCGGUGAGCAGGUGCCGGGCCGAAAGGCCUGAGGAAACUCCCUCCUCUGCGCGGACGUUGUGGCGCCGCGAGGCGCAAGGGGAGACCCUUGGCAACGGAACAGAAACGGCACUCGCUUCAACGGAUGUGGAUGAUUCGGCUGCGAAGCUGAUGACGAAGUUGAAAGCAGAGGUGAAACGGCCGUCCCACAAAGAGCAAGGCCAAACAGGGCCCGAUGACCACGUCCUCGCGAGGGCCGGGUAGGCCGCAUAGUCGAAUCCUGCUUAAAACAAAAGAGGGGUUACGGCCGGGAUCG
This 300-nucleotide RNase P RNA is filed under the name Thermoproteota archaeon. RNAcentral describes it as "RNase P RNA component". It matches the Rfam family "Archaeal RNase P". From Rfam's summary of the family: Ribonuclease P (RNase P) is a ubiquitous endoribonuclease, found in archaea, bacteria and eukarya as well as chloroplasts and mitochondria. Its best characterised activity is the generation of mature 5'-ends of tRNAs by cleaving the 5'-leader elements of precursor-tRNAs. Cellular RNase Ps are ribonucleoproteins. The record is from RNAcentral. RNAcentral also lists the same sequence under 1 other name. Lineage: Archaea; Thermoproteati; Thermoproteota.